This 468-nucleotide ribosomal RNA is filed under the name uncultured bacterium. Its description in RNAcentral is "partial 16S ribosomal RNA". It matches the Rfam family "Bacterial small subunit ribosomal RNA", at positions 28 to 507 of the family's 1533-position model. The record is from RNAcentral.
GACGAACGCUGGCGGCGUGCUUAACACAUGCAAGUCGAACGGAAAGGCCCUGCUUUUGUGGGGUGCUCGAGUGGCGAACGGGUGAGUAACACGUGAGUAACCUGCCCUUGACUUUGGGAUAACUUCAGGAAACUGGGGCUAAUACCGGAUAGGAGCUCCUGCUGCAUGGUGGGGGUUGGAAAGUUUCGGCGGUUGGGGAUGGACUCGCGGCUUAUCAGCUUGUUGGUGGGGUAGUGGCUUACCAAGGCUUUGACGGGUAGCCGGCCUGAGAGGGUGACCGGCCACAUUGGGACUGAGAUACGGCCCAGACUCCUACGGGAGGCAGCAGUGGGGAAUAUUGCACAAUGGGCGGAAGCCUGAUGCAGCAACGCCGCGUGCGGGAUGACCGCCUUCGGGUUGUAAACCGCUUUCGCCUGUGACGAAGCGUGAGUGACGGUAAUGGGUAAAGAAGCACCGGCUAACUAUGUG